This 253-nucleotide ribosomal RNA is filed under the name uncultured bacterium. RNAcentral describes it as "partial 16S ribosomal RNA". It matches the Rfam family "Bacterial small subunit ribosomal RNA", at positions 524 to 776 of the family's 1533-position model. RNAcentral also lists the same sequence under 1 other name. The record is from RNAcentral.
UACGGAGGGUGCGAGCGUUGUCCGGAAUCAUUGGGCGUAAAGGGCGCGUAGGUGGCCCAGCAAGCGUGCGGUGAAAGCUCGGGGCUCAACCCCGAGUCGGCCGUGCGAACUGCUGGGCUGGAGCACUGUAGAGGCAGGCGGAAUUCCGGGUGUAGCGGUGGAAUGCGUAGAGAUCCGGAAGAACACCGGUGGCGAAGGCGGCCUGCUGGGCAGUUGCUGACACUGAGGCGCGACAGCGUGGGGAGCAAACAGG